CACCUGUAAUUAAAAGGACUGGGUGUGGUUUUUACAUACUCGACACUCUCUUAUAAAUACAGACUGAAAAUACAGUUUAUGUACAGUCCUUCAACCUCCAGUACCAGUGUGAUUUCAGUGCCAAUUCUUGUCUGAGAAAAUGAGUGAUCCAGCAAAGAAACCGGCGGAGUCCACACCUGGGACUGAUGAUGGGAAGAAGGGAAAAGGUGGAAAAGGGGGACACAGCCAUGGAGGAGAUCAUGGAGGCGACCAGAAAGGAAAAGGAGGCGAGCAUAAAGGAAAAGGAGGCGAGCAUGGAGGCGACCAUAAAGGAAAAGGAGGUGACCACGGAGGAAAAGCAGGUCGUGGAGGACAUUAAAGAUUUAAUCAUGCACCAUUUGUAUGUUUCAUCACGGUAGCUAUUACGGAAAAAACAUGUUGAGCGAUUUAUUAAAGUUGACAAAUCUCUAAUAAAACCUACUUAUAAAACAGA
Oncorhynchus nerka (sockeye salmon) is the source of this 472-nucleotide long non-coding RNA. RefSeq lists it as uncharacterized. Lineage: Eukaryota; Metazoa; Chordata; Actinopteri; Salmoniformes; Salmonidae. The transcript is spliced from 5 exons. The record is from RefSeq and is a predicted model, not a curated record.